CUGGCUCAGAUUGAACGCUGGCGGCAUGCCUUACACAUGCNNGUCGAACGGCAGCACGGGGGCAACCCUGGUGGCGAGUGGCGAACGGGUGAGUAACAUAUCGGAACGUGCCCUGGAGUGGGGGAUAACUAGUCGAAAGAUUAGCUAAUACCGCAUACGAUCUACGGAUGAAAGUGGGGGAUCGCAAGACCUCAUGCUCGUGGAGCGGCCGAUAUCUGAUUAGCUAGUUGGUGGGGUAAAGGCCUACCAAGGCAUCGAUCAGUAGCUGGUCUGAGAGGACGACCAGCCACACUGGGACUGAGACACGGCCCAGACUCCUACGGGAGGCAGCAGUGGGGAAUUUUGGACAAUGGGCGCAAGCCUGAUCCAGCAAUGCCGCGUGAGUGAAGAAGGCCUUCGGGUUGUAAAGCUCUUUUGUCAGGGAAGAAACGGUUCGGGUUAAUACCUUGGGCUAAUGACGGUACCUGAAGAAUAAGCACCGGCUAACUACGUGCCAGCAGCCGCGGUAAUACGUAGGGUGCAAGCGUUAAUCGGAAUUACUGGGCGUAAAGCGUGCGCAGGCGGUUGUGCAAGACAGAUGUGAAAUCCCCGGGCUCAACG
RNAcentral lists this ribosomal RNA (600 nucleotides) under bacterium enrichment culture clone F61x_D8_T3_H01. RNAcentral's name for it is "bacterial SSU rRNA". It matches the Rfam family "Bacterial small subunit ribosomal RNA", at positions 19 to 614 of the family's 1533-position model. The record is from RNAcentral.